RNAcentral lists this ribosomal RNA (1494 nucleotides) under Triticum aestivum (bread wheat). RNAcentral describes it as "partial small subunit ribosomal RNA". Lineage: Eukaryota; Viridiplantae; Streptophyta; Magnoliopsida; Poales; Poaceae. The record is from RNAcentral.
AUGGCGAUCUCGCCCCUCCGCUCCCUCCCCCUCCCCCUCCUCCUCCUCCUCCUCCUCCUCCGCGCCUUCGCCUCCCUCCCCACGCAAGCCGCCGCGAGAGGCGGCCUCGGCCCGCCGCCAGGAAUCGCCGUUGAUAAACAUGGGGCAUUUUCGCGUGGUCUUCUUCAGGAUCAGCCUGAGAUCACGGAAGAAAUGGUUCGCGGAUAUAUGAGCAACGCUGAACUUGAGGGCGCUAUACAAGACUUUGGGAGGCGCUGUGCUAAUGUUUCCAGGAUAUACAGCAUCGGGAAGAGUGUAAAUGGUUCCCCAUUGUGGGCCAUUGAAAUAUCAGACAAGCCUGGGCUAAAAGAAGCUGAACCAGCAUUCAAGUUCAUUGGGAAUGUCCAUGGCGAUGAGCCUGUUGGAAGAGAGGUCCUUAUGCAACUUGCGUAUUGGCUGUGUGAUAACUACCUGAAGGAUCCUUUGGCAACUCUCAUUGUGGAGAACACACACCUUCAUAUACUUCCAUCAAUGAAUCCAGAUGGAUUUGCUCUUAGAAGGCGUGGUAAUGCAAACAAUGUUGAUCUCAACAGGGACUUUCCUGACCAAUUUUUCCCCAACAACGAUGAUAUUAAGCAACGGCAACCUGAAACUAGAGCUAUUAUGAACUGGAUAAAGCAAGAACACUUCACAGCCUCUGCUAGUUUGCAUGGGGGUGCUCUUGUUGCAAAUUAUCCAUGGGAUGGAUCUAGAGAUACAAGAAAACAGUAUUAUGGAUGUCCUGAUGACAAGGCAUUCCGUUACAUGGCGUCAAUGUACAGUCAGUCACACUAUAACAUGUCUUUGAGCAAGGAAUUCGAAGGAGGCAUUACAAAUGGAGCACUGUGGUAUCCAAUUUAUGGCGGCAUGCAAGACUGGAACUAUAUACAUGGAGGCUGCUUUGAGUUAACACUUGAAAUUAGUGAUGUAAAAUGGCCAAAAGCAUCCGAGCUUCUUGUCAUAUGGAAGCAAAAUAAGAUGAGCAUGCUCAACCUUGUUGCAAGCCUUGUAAAGACAGGAGUUCAUGGAAGGAUAUUUGCUGCAGAUACUGGCCGUCCUAUACCGGGAUCACUCAUGGUGAAGGGAAUCGAUUCAAAGAUAAAUGCUAGCGGAACUUUUGGCGAUUACCACCGGAUUCUUGCACCUGGUCAGAGUUAUGAAGUCGUUGCGUCGAUGGAGGGCUUCAAACCGAAAAGAACACGUGUCAUGCUGGGGCGUGAAGCCACGAAUCUGGACUUCAUCUUGGACCCAGACGGAGCCCUCAGGGGGACCAAGCCGCUGCGCAACGACUGCGGCUGCAGUUGCAACGACGACGGUGGCAGCAACAAGCCGUUCCUCCUCCGGGAAGCUUACCUCUGGCUGUAUCUCCUGGUCCUGUUCUUCCUGCUGGCCCUCUACCUUCUCUUGAGGAGGAGAAUGGCCUCGAGGCUCGCGGCGCAUCGGCAUUCUCCUCCGAAGCGGACUGUUGCCGUGUGA